Molecule: transfer RNA, 74 nt
Filed under: Colletotrichum liriopes
Lineage: Eukaryota; Fungi; Ascomycota; Sordariomycetes; Glomerellales; Glomerellaceae
Also listed under: 1 other name
Description: tRNA-Ile
Rfam family: tRNA
About the family: Transfer RNA (tRNA) molecules are approximately 80 nucleotides in length.
Source: RNAcentral
GCUCCCGUGGUCUAGCGGGUUAUGACGUUGUUCUUAUAAUGCGAAGGUCGCGAGUUCGAUCCUCGCCGGGAGCA